Molecule: long non-coding RNA, 408 nt
Filed under: Prunus persica (peach)
Lineage: Eukaryota; Viridiplantae; Streptophyta; Magnoliopsida; Rosales; Rosaceae
Description: long non-coding RNA (PPER_LNC008138)
Source: RNAcentral
UAAGCCACUUUCGCAGGGAUCCCGAUUGCAUUUAGCUUAUGCAACAAGCCUUUAAAUCCCUAGGUUGCACUACUGGACGAGUUAUAGCCUCGUGAGGGUUUUCAAGGAUGAUACCCACAAACAUCUGAAAUUUUAACUCUCCUGAAAAGUCAUCAUCAAGAAUGUCAAAGGUCAAAAACCAAGAUUCUCAAUUCAUGAACAAAUUUAAAAGAGCGAACACAAAUCCAAAACUUUAAGUUCUUCCAGUCUAAAGUCAAAGUCAUUUAUCACCAUUAAUAAAAUUUUCAAUUGCUUUCUUUGGUGUGAAGUGAACUAACAUUGUUGAGAAAACAAAAAUUCAAUCUUAAUCACACCAUCCUUCCUAUCUUAGAAAUUUAUUUAUUUAUUUAUAAAUAUUAGUAUUUGACU